RNAcentral lists this long non-coding RNA (1688 nucleotides) under Schistocerca americana (American grasshopper). RNAcentral's name for it is "uncharacterized LOC124596122". The record is from RNAcentral. Lineage: Eukaryota; Metazoa; Arthropoda; Insecta; Orthoptera; Acrididae.
CAGCCAUGCAGGUCGCCGCGCUGCUCAUCUGUCUACUGCUGACCGCGCUGACGUCACAGGUUCAGGCGCAGCCCGAGCGCUGGGAGUUAAACUGGAGGGAAAAGGAUCCAGAGGACACAAUUUUCACUUCAUCUGGGGAUGGUGUGUCAAAUGCUGAGAUUUAUGUAAGACCAGAAGUGCUACAACUGUUACAUCUUAGGAACAGACCCAUAAAAAAACACUUCAAUACUGUGCCAGCAUGGGUGCUAGGAAGUGAACAAGCAAAAUCAUCAGUGGUAAUUCUGCUGCCUGAAGGCUCAGCAGACAAUGAACAGGUUUUUUGAUGUUCAGAUGGGCAAUGGAAUUUAUUCUUUCAAAAAUUGUGUCAAUAGGAAAUAAAUAUCAAGAACAACAGAAAUUUACAGUACCUUAAAGAAAUAAUAUGUUGCCAUUGAGCAGCUAUAUGUAAUAGGAAUAAUGCACAGAAUAACAGAAAUCAGACUGAAACAUCAUAGUCUUCUGUUGUCAAACCUCAUCACAGCUCUUCCAGUCCACUUGUAUGAGCUUUUGCUUCUGAUUGGUUGAAAAGAAUGAACUGACAACAUUGAUAAUUUUCGUAUCUAGUCUGACUGUAACUAUUUUUGCAUGCAGUCAUCACUGUUUUCCUUCUUAGUUAUUUAUGAAUUUCAUGUACAAAGCAUAGAUUACAAGUGUGAAUAACUUUUACACAUAAAAGUCAGUGAGUGAAAGAUGCGGUUAAAAUAUGUUGUACAUAUAUUGAGUUGACUUCAAUUCAUUUUUAGCUGUGUUUCUCUGUCGCUCUAAUAACCCGUCAUUUUCUUCAUUAUUCAUCCAGUUUCAGCAGUUGCUCCAUUUCUGCUGACGUAGUUACCAGUUUCAUGUGCAUAUUUCUAAGAGACAUCUCAUGUAAGAAGAGAAAUUUUGAAUGAAUGAUCAUGUGAUACUGGGCAAUAAUCUAAGGAAGUGAACUAAGAUUCUCCCUCAUGUACCUUAUUUAAGUUCUUAUAGCACUUGUCUUAAAUUAGAAAUCUUCAUUGGUAAGACCAGUUAAUUCUCUUCUUUAUGCUGUAUAAUAAUUAUUAUAAACAGAUGCCUCUUCAUUGUCAUUAUUUAUUAAACAAGUAAGCUUUUGUACUAUCAAUGCUUAUAAAUAUGGAAAAACAGAUACUGUUACCAGUGUUUGCUGCGUUACAUCAUCAUGGAUUGGAAAAAGCUUAUAAAUAUUGUACCUUACCACUCAGUUCUUAAAUUGUAAUGCAUCUAACUGUACCUACCAUUUUUAUUUCUCUAAAAAGUUUUCCACAUAUUGAGUAAAGUUUCUCACUUUGCCAUCACAUCUUGCUCUCACCUUAUUCAAUGUUGUUGUUAAUGUGGCUUUCUUACUUUCUGCCUUAAUAAUUUAUUACAGGUACCUCUAUAAUUUUAAUUCCAUUCACUUUGAGGAAAAAUGUGUUUGCACAUCCCUGAUCCUACUUUAUCUGAUAUGUUUACCAAAGCAUGCCAUGGCAUAAAACUGAGCAAGUAUGACUUUUGUGUGAGUGCAGUUUUUGCCUAGUUGUAGUAAACACUAAGGCAAAUUUCCUGACAUUCACAUUCAAUUUUCCUCAUUUAUAAUCUCCAAAUUAUGACACUGACUUUGUUAUGUUCUAAUGGAAGUAUAUACUUUUUUCUGUGACACUUGAAAGAAG